AUUGAACGCUGGCGGCAUGCCUUACACAUGCAGGUCGAACGGCAGCACGGGUGCUUGCACCUGGUGGCGAGUGGCGAACGGGUGAGUAAUAUAUCGGAACGUACCUUAUUGUGGGGGAUAACGCAGCGAAAGCUGUGCUAAUACCGCAUAAUCCCUAAGGGGGAAAGCGGGGGACCGUAAGGCCUCGCGCAAUUAGAGCGGCCGAUACCUGAUUAGCUAGUUGGUGAGGUAAAGGCUCACCAAGGCAACGAUCAGUAGCUGGUCUGAGAGGACGAUCAGCCACAAUGGGACUGAGACACGGCCCAGACUCCUACGGGAGGCAGCAGUGGGGAAUUUUGGACAAUGGGGGCAACCCUGAUCCAGCAAUGCCGCGUGAGUGAAGAAGGCCUUCGGGUUGUAAAGCUCUUUUGUCAGGGAAGAAACAGCAGCUCUAACACAGUUUGCGAAUGACGGUACCUGAAGAAUAAGCACCGGCUAACUACGUGCCAGCAGCCGCCGUAA
Molecule: ribosomal RNA, 501 nt
Filed under: uncultured bacterium
Lineage: Bacteria
Description: partial 16S ribosomal RNA
Rfam family: Bacterial small subunit ribosomal RNA
Source: RNAcentral